This 1489-nucleotide ribosomal RNA is filed under the name Lactiplantibacillus pentosus. RNAcentral's name for it is "bacterial SSU rRNA". It matches the Rfam family "Bacterial small subunit ribosomal RNA". Lineage: Bacteria; Bacillati; Bacillota; Bacilli; Lactobacillales; Lactobacillaceae. The record is from RNAcentral.
GACGAACGCUGGCGGCGUGCCUAAUACAUGCAAGUCGAACGAACUCUGGUAUUGAUUGGUGCUUGCAUCAUGAUUUACAUUUGAGUGAGUGGCGAACUGGUGAGUAACACGUGGGAAACCUGCCCAGAAGCGGGGGAUAACACCUGGAAACAGAUGCUAAUACCGCAUAACAACUUGGACCGCAUGGUCCGAGUUUGAAAGAUGGCUUCGGCUAUCACUUUUGGAUGGUCCCGCGGCGUAUUAGCUAGAUGGUGGGGUAACGGCUCACCAUGGCAAUGAUACGUAGCCGACCUGAGAGGGUAAUCGGCCACAUUGGGACUGAGACACGGCCCAAACUCCUACGGGAGGCAGCAGUAGGGAAUCUUCCACAAUGGACGAAAGUCUGAUGGAGCAACGCCGCGUGAGUGAAGAAGGGUUUCGGCUCGUAAAACUCUGUUGUUAAAGAAGAACAUAUCUGAGAGUAACUGUUCAGGUAUUGACGGUAUUUAACCAGAAAGCCACGGCUAACCACGUGCCAGCAGCCGCGGUAAUACGUAGGUGGCAAGCGUUGUCCGGAUUUAUUGGGCGUAAAGCGAGCGCAGGCGGUUUUUUAAGUCUGAUGUGAAAGCCUUUGGCUCAACCGAAGAAGUGCAUCGGAAACUGGGAAACUUGAGUGCAGAAGAGGACAGUGGAACUCCAUGUGUAGCGGUGAAAUGCGUAGAUAUAUGGAAGAACACCAGUGGCGAAGGCGGCUGUCUGGUCUGUAACUGACGCUGAGGCUCGAAAGUAUGGGUAGCAAACAGGAUUAGAUACCCUGGUAGUCCAUACCGUAAACGAUGAAUGCUAAGUGUUGGAGGGUUUCAGCCCUUCAGUGCUGCAGCUAACGCAUUAAGCAUUCCGCCUGGGGAGUACGGCCGCAAGGCUGAAACUCAAAGGAAUUGACGGGGGCCCGCACAAGCGGUGGAGCAUGUGGUUUAAUUCGAAGCUACGCGAAGAACCUUACCAGGUCUUGACAUACUAUGCAAAUCUAAGAGAUUAGACGUUCCCUUCGGGGACAUGGAUACAGGUGGUGCAUGGUUGUCGUCAGCUCGUGUCGUGAGAUGUUGGGUUAAGUCCCGCAACGAGCGCAACCCUUAUUAUCAGUUGCCAGCAUUAAGUUGGGCACUCUGGUGAGACUGCCGGUGACAAACCGGAGGAAGGUGGGGAUGACGUCAAAUCAUCAUGCCCCUUAUGACCUGGGCUACACACGUGCUACAAUGGAUGGUACAACGAGUUGCGAACUCGCGAGAGUAAGCUAAUCUCUUAAAGCCAUUCUCAGUUCGGAUUGUAGGCUGCAACUCGCCUACAUGAAGUCGGAAUCGCUAGUAAUCGCGGAUCAGCAUGCCGCGGUGAAUACGUUCCCGGGCCUUGUACACACCGCCCGUCACACCAUGAGAGUUUGUAACACCCAAAGUCGGUGGGGUAACCUUUUAGGAACCAGCCGCCUAAGGUGGGACAGAUGAUUAGGGUG